UACAGAGGUCUCAAGCGUUGUUCGGAUUCAUUGGGCGUAAAGGGUGCGUAGGCGGGCAGGUAAGUCAGUGGUGAAAUCUCCGAGCUUAACUCGGAAACUGCCGUUGAUACUAUUUGUCUUGAAUAUUGUGGAGGUAAGCGGAAUAUGUCAUGUAGCGGUGAAAUGCUUAGAUAUGACAUAGAACACCAAUUGCGAAGGCAGCUUACUACACAACGAUUGACGCUGAGGCACGAAAGCGUGGGGAUCAAACAGG
Molecule: ribosomal RNA, 253 nt
Filed under: uncultured bacterium
Lineage: Bacteria
Description: partial 16S ribosomal RNA
Rfam family: Bacterial small subunit ribosomal RNA
Source: RNAcentral